This 1759-nucleotide long non-coding RNA is filed under the name Oryza sativa (Asian cultivated rice). RNAcentral's name for it is "long non-coding RNA (OSAT_LNC001030)". Lineage: Eukaryota; Viridiplantae; Streptophyta; Magnoliopsida; Poales; Poaceae. The record is from RNAcentral.
GCAUAAUAAUAAUAAUCGUGAAAGCAACAACUCUAUUUGGCCAACCUCCAACCAAGCCGUAGUAAACAACUAAAGAUAAGGCCAGCAGUAGGCCGGCCUUAUUGAGAUAAUCCAAUAUAAAGUUAAGGAUAUAUAUCGCCUGCUUCAAUCCCAGCACUUAGUAAAAGGAUAAUAUUUCCAGGGUCAUUUUGAUGAUCAAAAGAUUGUUGGAUUACAAUAAGCAUAGGAUUGAAUUGAUAAAUAGCUUUGCAAGUACUUCCUGAAGCAAUUCUGAUGACAUCACCUUAUACUAAAAGAACCAUCUUAAUUUCUAAAUUAUGUACUACAAGCAUUUUUAGGAUUAGAUAGUUGUAAUGUAUUACAAGCAUUUUUAGGACUGGGUAGUUUCAAACAUAGAUAUAGAGCCUGUUUUGAGUCUACAUUCAAUACCAAAUGUGCAAGUUUUGAAGUACAUGAUGACCAAAUGAUCAAGAACCAGAUCGUCCAGUGCCAAACCCAAGUUUAAACCAUCAGAAACAAAUGCAGAGAUAAAAAUGUUCAGAUUUCAGAAGAUGAGAUGACAAAGCUUAACCUGUUGGAAAUCAUGGCAGAUCGAAGACACCAAGGCCUCUGUGGACCAUGUGAUCGUCAAUGACAAUGACCCAUCAUUGAACUAAAGUCAAGAUGUUAAUCUUCAUGCCUUAAAUAAGUACAUUUAUUUAGUGAAGUUACAACCAGGGUUUUCAAGUUUCUUUGAGUUUGAAUUCCAAAACUGGUGCAUUAAAGUAUAAUUUUGCUCACCUGAACAUGCAUGUUCAGGACAUCAUAUCAAGCUCAAGAGAGUCAACUUAGGCAUGCCACUCCUCAUGAUCUCAUAACUUUCCUGUAAAGAAACAAAUAUAAUAAUUAAAUUUUACAUGAAGCACAGGAAAAAAAAACUAUAAUCGCUUGGCUGAAAUGGAACUGAUCCUCUUUGGCCAUCAUCAAAGCAUAGAUAAACCUCAAAUGAAUCUGAUGGCAAACAAGAUGAACCAACCAAAAAAAUUCUGAACAAUAUAUGUUGUCCCUAGAGAGCAAUAGCCAAUAGAUAGUCAGGAGAUAAAAAUUGACAUCUCUAUUGGACUUUUCACACAGUAAACCCUAAAAAACAAAUGAUCAGCUCUAGCUGGUGUGCUCUUUGCUUCAGAGGUACACAUAGCUUUUGUUGACGAUCACUAAAGCUUAUUUGACAGCACAUAUAAGUUAAUAGGAAAAGCAAACUAUAAAUCGUAACCAUCAAACUUAAUAAAUCUAUCGCUAGAUGAUCUUGGCUAGAUUAUUCAGUUUGACAUGCUAUUCUUCAAGAACAUCGAGCAACUACCGGUGUCGAUAAAAUAUCAUAUAUCUAGUUUUUGUGAGAGGCAAGUGUUGAAAUUGACCUGCUAAGUGAUCAUGGAGGAGACAACCAUGUAGAAUACUGGCACACUCCUAAGUAGUUGGCAGGGCAGGCACCUCACUGGCGGAUAGAACCGCGUCCUGUUUCCAUGCACCAUCUGACCCAUCAAUACACUGAGUAGAAAAAGGUUAAAAAAUAAUUAAAAAAGACAAAUCUAGAUAGGAAAUCAUGUUCCUUUCACAGGGUCCAGAUGAAAUGAAAGGUAUGAACUUACAAUUUGGCAGAAGAUGGAGUGAUUAAAAGCAUAAAUACAAUCUGAAAAAAGAUGAAGUGAUUAACAAACACACACAAAAAAAUUUUUGCAAUGGACGAAGAGAAGAGACAUGUCAUGAUCUGAUUGUAUCU